UGGGGAAUAUUGCACAAUGGGCGCAAGCCUGAUGCAGCCAUGCCGCGUGUAUGAAGAAGGCCUUCGGGUUGUAAAGUAUCCUUUCAAGCGGGGAGGAAGGUGUUGAGGGUUAAUAACCUCAGCAAUUGACGUUACCCGCAGAAGAAGCACCGGCUAACUCCGUGCCAGCAGCCGCGGUAAUACGGAGGGUGCAAGCGUUAAUCGGAAUUACUGGGCGUAAAGCGCACGCAGGCGGUCUGUCAAGUCGGAUGUGAAAUCCCCGGGCUCAACCUGGGAACUGCAUUCGAAACUGGCAGGCUGGAGUCUUGUAGAGGGGGGUAGAAUUCCAGGUGUAGCGGUGAAAUGCGUAGAGAUCUGGAGGAAUACCGGUGGCGAAGGCGGCCCCCCUGGACAAAGACUGACGCUCAGGUGCGAAAGCGUGGGGAGCAAACA
This 432-nucleotide ribosomal RNA is filed under the name uncultured Enterobacteriaceae bacterium. Its description in RNAcentral is "bacterial SSU rRNA". It matches the Rfam family "Bacterial small subunit ribosomal RNA", at positions 355 to 774 of the family's 1533-position model. Lineage: Bacteria; Pseudomonadati; Pseudomonadota; Gammaproteobacteria; Enterobacterales; Enterobacteriaceae. The record is from RNAcentral.